GAAACCUCGGAUUUGUUAAGGUCUUCAUGGAAGAUUCCGAAAUAAACAAAAGAACCUUCGAUCAAAAAGGUGUAUGCUCUGUUUCUAAUGGUGUGAGAGAAGAUGGAGUGAUGAGGAGGAGUUUUCUCGAUACAUCUGAAAGGUAAGUCAUCGAGAUUUGGUUCUCUUGUGAAUUCAGCGAGGAUUAUAGUUCCUCUUGCAAUGCAGGAAUAUAAGACGAGAUCUGGAUUGGAAACCAUUAACGGAUUUCAGAAGAAACAAAUCACUAGUCUCGAUUCUUGAAUAAUGGAAUUCAGAUUCUCAAAGUGGAAGGAAUCCGAUCAAACGGAAUGAGAUCACAGAAGAAUCAAUUCUACAGUAGGUUUGACGGAUUUCACCAAAAUCAGGUACUCUUCUUCAUACACAUUUUUCAAUUUCUUCGAACGGAAUACAAAUGAUUUCUUUGUUAAUUCUUCAUCCUUCUCACCAAAUUGAAUUGGUGAAAAGAGAAAUGAAAAAAAUUAUCUCUCUAGGGUUUGGAUUUUCUGUUGGAUGAAGAUGAAGAUUAAGAAGACGGGAUUAUUUUUUCUUUUUUCUUUUUCCUUUUACUUUUUUGGUUUGAAGAAAAAAAUAAAAACUAAGAAACCAACAAGAAAAACGAUUGCCAGCGUGGCACUCGCCCCCUAUAAAUUCCUGAUAUUACGUAAAACCCCCUCAAAAUUCUGUGCUUUCACUUAACAGUCCUUAUCAUCGAAAUUGCAAUAAUAAUAAUAUAAAAUAAAACAAAAGACAAUAAAUUCUCCUUUUAUACUCAUUCGAUCCUUAACGUUUUUGUUUAUUUUUAUUUUUUUAGAGGUGUUUGGUAACAUUUUUUAUUUCUCGUUUUUAAAAAAAUAGAAACGUUUCUCAUUUUAUAAUAAAUUAUAGGAAUAAGAAAAAAUAGUUUUUCUCAUUAUUCUCGUUUCUUACUUAUUUUUAUUGGUUUUCUUUUCUUUUUCUCAGUUUAUUUUAUUGGUUUCUUUUUUCUUCUUUUCAAUCCUUUUGCUAUUCCUUUUUUUCUUCCUCUUAUCUCCAUCGUCUUUCCUAAAUAACCAUCAUCUUCGUUGUCUUCCUGUUCGCCUUUCAUCGUCUUCCUUUACACGACAUCUUCUUCUUCACUGGAUCUAAGAUUUUCUCUUCCUCUUUGCGUGAAUUGUGUUUUCGCCGAACUUGUAGGUUUUUGUCGAAUAUGUGUUUCAACCGUGAGUUUCCGUCUUCCUCUUUGUCGUGGGUUUUGGUUCUCCUCUUCGUGGUGGGUUUUUGUCUUUCUCUCGUCGACUUUUUUCUUCAGAUCUCAAUGUGCAUCUUGUUCUCCAUAAGACUACAAAAAGACCUUAUUAUCUAGGUUUGAUAAUUUUAUUCUUUUAUGUUUAGUGGAGGACAUAUAUUUUUGUUUGAUGUUUAAUUGAAUUAAAUGCGAAUAAAACAAAAAAUAAAUUUCAAAGAAAAUUAGGAAACAAGAAACAGUUAUUAAGCACAUUUUCUGUUUCUGUUUUUUUUUUUUAAGAAACAAGAAAUAUAAACAAUUAUAAACACAUUCUUGUUCCUUAUUCUAAAAAAAGAAGGAACACGAAACCAAAACUAAAACAUAAAACAAGAAAUAGAAAACGAGAAAGUUACCAAACAGAUCCUAAAAUUUUAAGAUGAACUUUUUUAGCCUUAGAUUUUAAAAAGGUUCAACCAUCAUACUUCAAUAGUUUUUAAAAUUAUGUUACGUUUAAAAUUUAUUCUUUUCAUUUAAAAUUUCAUAUAAUUAUUUUAAUUAUAAGUAUAAAGAUAUUCAAUGAAUCUUUUGAACAUACUUUUAAAGGAUUUGAGGGAUAUACUUCGAAUUAAAAUUUAGUUCCAAACCGACAUAUUGUUUUAUACUUAGGGACUAAAAAAGUAAUAUUCUUUAAAAAAAAUAAAAGAAGAAUAAGCACAAAUUGCAAAAACCAUCUAUAAUGGUAGUUGCAAUUAUACCCCUUAGACUUAAAAAAAAAUGAUAAAUACACUCCUAAACUUCUAAAAAUAUAUAUUGAAAUUUGAUCUAAAAACAUACAAUAAUUGUAAAAAUUAAAUUGAAUCCUUUAAUUUAUAUAAUUAUCCCGUUUAUACAACUAUGUAAUUUUGUAAGUGUAAUUUUAAAAUUCGAAUAGCUUUGAGAACUCAACUUAUAAUUUCAAAAUUUUAAAAGGAUGAUUUUGCAAUUUGUCUAAAGAUUAAACUCUCUUUUUCUCCCUCUUGGAAGAGAUAGAGAUGAACUGUACACAUUGACAUUUAGCUUUUAUGGAAAUUUGUUUGCUUAUGAUAAUUUUUUUUUACAGAUUUUAGAGCUAAUUUUAACAAUUAGGUUAAUUUAUUUAUGGAUAAUCACGAAUGUAAUUUUUAUUUUUAAAUUUCAUAACAUUUAUUUUAAGUUUUUCAAAUAAAUAUAAACAAACUUUUGCAAUAGAAAGUUAAUAAUAAAAACAGUUUGUAAUAGAAAGUUAAUAGUAAAAACACUGUAUUGAGUGAGCUGUGAUAAUUAUUAGAAUCUUAGUUUUUAGGUAAUUUGUACUAUUGAUGUUAUUCUUCGUUACUUUUCUUUCUAAAAAUAUAUAGUCUAGGAGAUCGAACCUCAAAUUUUAAAACUGUCGUUAAAAGAUGAGUUAUGUUUGCAUUGAUAAUCUGGUUUACUAAAUAACAAUAAAAAGUUUAGUUUUCAAUUAGUAAAUAAACAAAAACAAAUAUUUAAGAAAAAAAUAUGGUAGUUGUAAGUAAUGGAUGAAAAACUAGAAAAUUAUACGUUCUUUUGAAUGACAACGUAAAAAAAAUAAGAGAUAAGAAUGAGACUAACACGAGUUUUGAAUAAUCUAACGAGAUUUCACUAAAAUAAAAUGUUUCAAAAUUGAUGGCGUGUUAAAUCAAUGUAUCUAUUCAUAUAAUUUAUUAACCACUAUCAAUAUAUAUAUAUAUAUAAAAAUCAUUCUCAUUCAUGUGAAGUAAAUCGGAUUAAAGAAAUGAAUCCAUCAUAGAUUAUAUCAUAACUAACACGAACAAAAUAUUUACAAAAUGUGAUACUCUGUCAAGGAUAAACGAAGAUACGUGGCCGUUUGUGUUUAUAUAACUUGAUCUAUAGUAGUUUGCGAUAUUCGCAAAUUCGUUUAAAAAAAGAAUUGCAUUUAAAAUAAUUUAUCAAAUAAAUAUGUAGAGAGGUUGGAUAAGAUAAAAGUAGGAGAAGGUAAGAUAGUUUCUUUUGGUAGGAACAUAUUAAAUUCUCUUAAUCAAUAGAUUGUACUCUUUUGUUCUUUGAUUAUAUAUAUCAAAAAGAAAGAGAGUGGAAAGAAAAAAAGUUUGAAUUUAUACAAAAAUGAUGGUAUAUUUGAAAAUUUAUGGUUUGGAGAUUACAUAUUUUGAAGCUCUUGAAACUGAUUGAAGAAACAAAAGAGAAACAAUGGGAACAACAUCCUCAUAUCUGUUGGGCCAAACAGAUUUUUGGCUUUGGCUAUUGACUAUUCUUCCUCUUAUUCUUAUCAUAAUUAUGAUUAUAGCUGAAUCUGUUUCCUCCUUUUCUUGCAUCUGAAAUCAAUUGCUUCUUGAACAUUACAAUGAAAGCUUCAACUCUUUCAUUCAAUUCCUCUUUUGAUAACUCUAUUUCUUCUUCUUCUUCUUCUUCAAUUUCAUCUUCUUCUUUGAUUUCAUCUUCUUCUUUUAUAGCCUCUUUGAUCUCUCUGUUUUCAAUCUUCUUCUGCUUUGUUUUAUCUUCUUCUUUCUUAGCCUCCUCCAACUCUCUCUUUUCAAUCUUCUUCAGCUUUGUUUUACCACUUGUCUCUUGUUUUUGGGUUUCACUGUAAUUUGCAGGAUUUGCAGGAUUUGAAGUGAAGAAAAUUGCAACAAGAAUAAGGUUUAAAACAAGGAAAACCCAGAUCCGCCAUUGCUCAACCAAGAACAUAACAACAGCUAAUUUCUUCAAGCAAGUUGCCAUUAACAAUGCUGUUCCAGCUGAUAACAAAGCAUUCCUUAUAGAAUCUUUAUCUUCAAACUCUCCUCCUUGCUUUAAUUCUCUGUUAAUUUCUUCUGUCCUCCACAUGUUUGAUGAAAUUACUCACAAAUUUUUUUAAAUGGGUUUGCUUCAAGUUAAACUCCCAAAAUUUCGGUGGGUUUAUAUAGAGGAAUUGAGUAUUGUUUUUUGGUGGGUUGUGAGAUGAGAGUGGGGCCAACAAUGGAAGCAGGCUUUAAUGAUAUCUAAGGGGACAAAGGUGCAGUUGCUGGGGAAGACAAGAAGACAGAGAUGUUAAAGCCUGCAAUUUUUCACUGCCAUUGCCAUUGCCUUUUCUUUUUUUUAAAAAAAAAAAAAAAAACUUUUUCUUGGUUUGUUUAUGAUUGCUUUGAUUCAAGUUAGGAAAAGGUUUUUGAAGUUGGGAAGGUGGUGCUAAGAUUUGUUCAAAUGUUUCAUUGUUGGGGCCUGGCGUGCUCUAUUUCUUUCAUUCUAUCAAAGUUUUAUAAUGCUACUUUUUUUUAACUUUGUUGGAAAUCGGUCACACCUCUAAGUUCUCAAACUUAUGAAAAAUUAAUUCAUAAGUAGAUAUUAUAAAUUGAACUCAUAUCUACCUACUUAUGAGUUAAUUAUUCAUAAGUUUUUCACAUACCUAAAUGUUGUAGAGUUAGUCCGGUUGUUCAAUAAGAAUAGUUGAGGUGGAUGUAAAUUUUUUCCAAACACCCACAAAUAUAAAAUAAAUAAAUAACUCAAAUAGGAUUUUAGAUUACUAUUCUGUAUGUAAUUGUAUUCAGCAAGAAGAAUUUUUUUUUCUUAAUUUCUAAAAAGUGUUGGGUUAUUUUAUUAGUUGUCAUCCUUACGUCACAAGGAAUUGACCCAUAUAGUUAUAGUGAAAAAUGCAAAAUAUCACUCUUGUAAUCUUAAGCAUUGAAUUAUGUUCUCAGCAUUUUAAAAGAAAAAAUGUUUCAUUGCAUCUUGAAAAGGUUCACUUUAGCCUUUUCAAGCUUUGUUUUUGAGAAAUUUCAAUGAGAUGAGUAAUAUUAGGGUAACUUGAAGCUUUGGCCUUCUUACAAAACAUCAUCAUAGCAACAAACAUGAGUCUUUUCUCAUUAUGGCUAAUGUAUAAUCCAUUCUUUACGACACCUUUGUCGUAGUGCGAAUAAAAUUGAACUUUUUGUUGGGGAUUUGGUAUAAAAGCAAACAAGGCAAGUGAAUGAAACUGAACUUUAACACGAAAAAAAAAAUUAACCUGAACUAGAAAAAAAACGUCAUUGCAAGGAUUUGAACAUAAAACUUAAGCUAAUGUGUUUUUUUUUGCUUUUGAAAUUUAUCUUUGUUUCUUCUCAAUUUAUCUUAUGAUUUUUGUUUUCUUUAGUUUAAGCAACAUUUAAAUUCAUCAAAGUGAGCUUAACUAAGUGGUGUUGACAUGAUUUUCAUACUAGUAGUAAAAAGAUAUAAGAAAUAUUGAAUUUCCAGUUAAGUUCUAAAACAAAAAUAAGCUUUUCAAAUCUAAUUUUUUUUAGUUUGAAAUUGCCUGGUAGAAAAUGGAUAUAUGCUUAAAGAAAUCUAUUUGAAUCAAAGAAGAACGAAAUAAAAUAUUGGGAGGAGAGAAUCCAAUGUCUUGGAAAGGGAUAAUCAGGUGCAAAAGAUCUCAUUUUCUUUCCUUUUAGCGCUAAAAAGUCUCAGCUUUCAUCAGUCAGAGAAGCAAUGUAAUGUCAAUGUCAAUGCCAAUGAUGAAGAAACAUCAAUUCAAAAAUAAGAAAGGAAAAAGAAAAGGUAGACAUAUAAAUUCAAAGGCAUGCUUACUUCAACACAUCUUGUGUUACAUGUAUCAUCACAAAAUGGACCCUACUUGUUUCAUUUUUACAUAAUCAACACGUUGAAGCUAAUAAUUAAUUACUACUCCUCAAUCCUCCUAUCUUCUUUUUGUUAUUGAUUCAUGUUUCUAUAAAUUAAACUAAAUAAAUAUUUAGCCAUAAACUAUGUGAAGAAGACACAAGUAAAAAACUGCACAGAAUGAUCUAUUCAUCUCUCUCUCUCUCUCUCUCUCUCUCUCAUUAAAUGAAUCUAAACACCAAUCAAGUGGAUUUUUUUGGAAAAGAAAAUUCUGAAGAACAACUCACAGGAGGGCUGACGUGCUUGAUUCCCAAUCAUUAUCUAGGUUCUGAUGGUGUUGAAGGAUGAAAAGAAAUCACCAUUAUUACUCCCAUCUUUUUCUAGACAAGGAUACGAGCUGCCGGAAAAAAUAAAAAGGUAAAAAGUUAGCUAUUUGAAACAAUGCACUUAAGAUUUUAACCAACCAAAUGAUGAGAAAGUAAGGACAGAAAUUCAUUAAGUGCUUGUGCAAGUGUUCUAUAAAGAUCAUGGAAAUUGCAAGGAACAUAAUCAAUAGUAGUCUUACUAAAAUUAUAGUGCGAAAAAGUGGAAAAGGAAAUCUUUUUGCUUCAAAUUUCACAUUAAAAUUUUCUAGUCGAACGUUGAAAACUUAACUCUAAAACUUAAAGGUGUGUUUCGAUUAUCUUCCAAGAGUUUAAUUUUAAAAAAAAGUUAAAUUGAAGUUCGAUAAAUACUAAAAAUAACUUUGAAACGCUUUUAAAACAACAUUUUUUAGAUUUUUUUUCUCUAGUCAAUCCAAAAAGCCUCCAAAUAAUGCAAGCCAGAGCAACUACUAGAUAAAGUCUCAACAUCCUAUAUCAGUUCAUCACACGUUCAAAAUUGAAAAGGGAGAAUGUGUAAGAAACCUGACGAGCAACUUGAGACAACUGUCGACUCUCCCUCGUCGAUUCUCCGAUCAAGUUAGACCUCUCAAACUCAGGCUCAAACUUUAGUUUCUCACGCAAACUUUUUGCAUUGCUCUUUCCUGGAGAAAUAUUUUCAUCAGAAAUGUCUAUUGCUUCCCUCUUGCGUUUUCUUUGCCUUGUACAUCUAAGAAUCAUUUUCUUGUCUACUUGGCAAGGAGAAUAGUUUGUAACUUCACAUAUUUGCUCGCAUUUUGUAUCAGGAUUCAUUUCAGAGUUCGACUUAGAACUUGGAAAAAUCAAAUUCCUAAUUCCACCACUAUCCUGUUUCACCGUCAAUGCAGUCAAAUCUUUCUUACUGUGUGCUGCAUUCUCGAGGACUUUGGAUUUAUUGACCUUAACACUGGCAGUAACACUAGGGAGAACUGAUAAAGAAUCAAUAUAACUUUCUGUUGAUGCGAGUUCUGGAUCCAAGCAGGUUAAUUUCUU
This 7203-nucleotide long non-coding RNA is filed under the name Cucumis sativus (cucumber). RNAcentral's name for it is "long non-coding RNA (CSAT_LNC002134)". Lineage: Eukaryota; Viridiplantae; Streptophyta; Magnoliopsida; Cucurbitales; Cucurbitaceae. The record is from RNAcentral.